CAACAACAGCUAGUGGAUUCACUCACAAUCAGCGGCGGAUCUCUGCACAGACCCGCAGGAGCCGCGGUACCCCCCAAAAAAAAAAAGAUUUUUUUUGUAUAUAGGAAACUACUAUAAUGCCCUUGAUACAAUUCUUUUUUACAUGCUUUGUCCUUCUCUGGUACCCCCUCUCCAUUCACCUCCCGUCUCUCGCGAACUCUCUCUAGCACCCCCUCACUGGGCUCUUCAACUUCGGCGACGGCCAUGCUAUGAGGCUCUUGAGUCUCAGUCUCUGGCGCGGUGGAGGCGCUAGGCACCUGCUAUCUUACUCUCUCAGAUCUCAGUCACUUUCAGGAGUAAUAAUGCAAUGAUUCAACCAGAUGAGCAGCCUUGAAAGGAACCUCUUCGUCAAUGUUUUCAGCCUGCCCAAACCUCUGGCGAUGAUUCAAAGGAGUGAAAGACAACAGGGGUAUGCUUGUGUGGUUACUUGCAAGAUAAUAAAAAGCAUCUGACUUGUAAUCUUUUUAGUCAGCUGUACAGCGAUAAUUCUAGAAAUAGGUGGUUAGUUUUUGUUGAUUUCAAUUUGGUUUUGUGUCAAGCUGGAAAAAAAAUGGAGGUAAUCCUAUUGAUAGUAGUAUUACUAACCAGUUCAAAGACACUAUCCAGCAGCGUGGCUUUAAUGAUUUGAGCUACAUUGGGGAUAUUUUCAUCACAUAAAAGCUAGAUUGGACAGAUUCUUAGUUAGCAAUGUAUAUGUUCCAUAAUUUUUCUAAUAUACAAAGGUAUGCCUCUGAUCAUAUACCUUUACUUUUUU
Molecule: long non-coding RNA, 793 nt
Organism: Medicago truncatula (barrel medic)
Lineage: Eukaryota; Viridiplantae; Streptophyta; Magnoliopsida; Fabales; Fabaceae
Exons: 2
Source: RefSeq, a predicted model, not a curated record